GGCGGGAUGGCCGAGCGGUCUAAGGCGCUAGAAUCAGGCAAUGUGAUUGCGGAAUCUAGUCCGAAAGGGCGCGAGUUCGAAUCUCGCUCCCGUCA
Molecule: transfer RNA, 95 nt
Filed under: Wolfiporia cocos MD-104 SS10
Lineage: Eukaryota; Fungi; Basidiomycota; Agaricomycetes; Polyporales; Phaeolaceae
Description: Wolfiporia cocos (strain MD-104) (brown rot fungus) tRNA
Rfam family: tRNA
About the family: Transfer RNA (tRNA) molecules are approximately 80 nucleotides in length.
Source: Rfam by way of RNAcentral